UGUUAUUUCCCUGUUUAAAGACUAGAAGAAUUAAAUGGUAUACAUAGGCCUACUUCUACAGUUUCUUCCCACAAAUACUCAAAUAAAAACAUGUUUUUUUAUUUUUACUUGUAACUGAACUGACCAAACAAAACAAGUGAAAGUGCCUUUUCCAACUAGCAACUGAUAAUUAAGGUCUUACAUAUAUUUUUUAUUUGCCUCUGUUGUGGCCUAACCUGUUGUCAUUUCCUGUGGUUCUUAGGUUGUACCAUGUAUUUCAUGUUUAUAAACACUUUUCAAAAGAUUUAACCAAGGAUAACAAAACAUUUUUGAACAUUUUCAUUGUGGCCAUAUUUAAUACUUGAAAAAAUGUACUUGGUUGAGUAUACUGUCA
Long non-coding RNA from Anguilla rostrata (American eel), 373 nucleotides. RefSeq lists it as uncharacterized. The transcript has 2 exons. NCBI's taxonomy places the organism in Eukaryota, Metazoa, Chordata, Actinopteri, Anguilliformes, Anguillidae. The record is from RefSeq and is a predicted model, not a curated record.